UACGUAGGUGGCAAGCGUUGUCCGGAUUUAUUGGGUUUAAAGGGUGCGUAGGCGGUCAUGUAAGUCAGUGCUGAAAUAUCCCGGCUUAACCGGGAGGGUGGCAUUGAUACUGUAUGACUUGAGUAAAGUUGAGGUUGGCGGAAUUGACGGUGUAGCGGUGAAAUGCUUAGAUAUCGUCAAGAACACCUAUUGCGAAGGCAGCUAACUAAGCUUUAACUGACGCUGAGGCACGAAAGCGUGGGGAGCAAACAGG
RNAcentral lists this ribosomal RNA (253 nucleotides) under uncultured bacterium. RNAcentral's name for it is "partial 16S ribosomal RNA". It matches the Rfam family "Bacterial small subunit ribosomal RNA", at positions 524 to 776 of the family's 1533-position model. The record is from RNAcentral.